AUACAGAGGGUGCGAGCGUUAAUCGGAAUUACUGGGCGUAAAGCGCGCGUAGGCGGCUUGGUCAGUCGGAUGUGAAAGCCCCGGGCUCAACCUGGGAAUGGCAUUCGAUACUGCCAGGCUAGAGUAUGGGAGAGGGAAGUGGAAUUUCCGGUGUAGCGGUGAAAUGCGUAGAUAUCGAAAGGAACACCAGUGGCGAAGGCGACUUCCUGGCCCAAUACUGACGCUGAGGUGCGAAAGCGUGGGGAGCGAACAGGACUAGAUACCCUAGUAGUCC
Molecule: ribosomal RNA, 274 nt
Filed under: uncultured bacterium
Lineage: Bacteria
Description: partial 16S ribosomal RNA
Rfam family: Bacterial small subunit ribosomal RNA
Source: RNAcentral